UUCGAGAGAACAACAGGGAUUGCCCCAGUAACGGCGAGUGAAGCGGCAGGAGCUCAAAUUUGAAAUCUGGGGUCGCCGACCUCCGAGUUGUAAUUUGGAGAGGCAUCUUCGGGGUGGAGCGCCGGCCCCAUGUUCCUUGGAACAGGACGUCGCAGAGGGUGAGAAUCCCGUGCCAGGCCGGCCGCCUCCGCCCCAUCGAGGGGCCUUCGACGAGUCGAGUUGUUUGGGAAUGCAGCUCCAAGUGGGUGGUAAAUUUCAUCUAAAGCUAAAUACCGGCGGGAGACCGAUAGCGCACAAGUAGAGUGAUCGAAAGAUGAAAAGCACUUUGAAAAUAGAGUCAAAAAGUACGUGAAAUUGUUGAAAGGGAAGCGCUUGAGACCAGACCCAGACCCGGGCAAACACCGCGCCCCUCGGGGCCGUGCAAUUGCCCGUGGCUGGGCCAGCAUCAGUCGGCCCGGCGGGACAAAUGCGAGGGGAAUGUGUCUCCCCUCGGGGAGUGUUUAUUAGCCCCUCGCCCAAUGCCGCCCGAGCCGACUGUGGACCGCGCCUCGGCUAGGAUGCUGGCUUAAUGGCCUUCAGCGACCCGUCUUGAAACACGGACCAAGGAGUCUAACAUCUAUGCGAGUGUUUGGGCUUCAAACCCUUGCGCGGAAUGAAAGUGAGCGGAGGUGGGAACCCCCCAGCGGGGCGCACCAUCGACCGAUCCUGAUGUCCUCGGAUGGAUUUGAGUAGGAGCAUAGCUGUUGGGACCCGAAAGAUGGUGAACUAUGCCUGAAUAGGGUGAAGCCAGAGGAAACUCUGGUGGAGGCUCGCAGCGGUUCUGACGUGCAAUCGAUCGUCAAUUUGGUAUAGGGGCGAAGACAAUCGAACUCUAUAGUGUCUC
This 883-nucleotide ribosomal RNA is filed under the name Helvella ulvinenii. Its description in RNAcentral is "eukaryotic LSU rRNA". It matches the Rfam family "Eukaryotic large subunit ribosomal RNA", at positions 56 to 953 of the family's 3401-position model. The record is from RNAcentral. Lineage: Eukaryota; Fungi; Ascomycota; Pezizomycetes; Pezizales; Helvellaceae.